Long non-coding RNA from Homo sapiens (human), 478 nucleotides. The record is from Ensembl. NCBI's taxonomy places the organism in Eukaryota, Metazoa, Chordata, Mammalia, Primates, Hominidae.
AGACCUACUGAGUCCUGAGGACAACCAACAAAGGCCUUAACGGCACAGAAGGAAGUCCUGUCUUCUGGGAUUGAGUUUGAUGCUCUGCCAGGUCAGGGUGCGUUCUGCUCUGCGUUUUUCCAUCCUGCCUAAACGGCGGGGUCUUACUCUGUCCCACAGGCUAGAGUACAGUGGCGCAAUCAUGGCUCAUACGGCCUCGACUUCCCUGGCUCAAGCAAUUCUCCAACCCAGCUUCCCAAGUAGCUGGGACUACAGGCACUCGCCAACACGCCCUGCUAUUUUUAAAAUUUUUUGUAGAGAUAGGGUCUCAUUAUGUUGCCUGGACUGGUCUCUAACUCCUAGAUUCAAGCAAUCUGCCCACCUCAGCCCCCCAAAGUGUUGGGGUUACAGAUGUGAGCCACUGCACCCAGCAUUCUUCUUCUUCUAAAAACUGGCCUAGACAAAAAAAAAUUGCCUAAAGUUGAAUAGCUAAUAAAGU